This 334-nucleotide unclassified non-coding RNA is filed under the name soil metagenome. RNAcentral's name for it is "partial contains 5.8S ribosomal RNA, internal transcribed spacer 2, and large subunit ribosomal RNA". The stretch from base 1 to 119 matches the Rfam family "5.8S ribosomal RNA", at positions 36 to 154 of the family's 154-position model. The record is from RNAcentral.
AUGAAGAACGCAGCGAAAUGCGAUAAGUAAUGUGAAUUGCAGAAUUCAGUGAAUCAUCGAAUCUUUGAACGCACAUUGCGCCCAUUAGCAUUCUAGUGGGCAUGCCUGUUCGAGCGUCAUUUCAACCCUUAAGCCCUGUUGCUUAGCGUUGGGAGCCUACAGUACUGUAGCUCCCCAAAGUUAGUGGCGGAGUCGGUUUCACACUCUAGACGUAGUAAUUUUUUCUCGUCUGUAGUUGAGCCGGUCCCCUGCCGUAAAACACCCAAUUUAUCAAGGUUGACCUCGGAUCAGGUAGGAAUACCCGCUGAACUUAAGAAUAUCAAUAAGCGGAGGA